UUAAUUUGAUCUUUUGUUAGGCCAUCAUUAACGGCAGAACUAUUGUGUGUUCUUAUCCCAGUUAUAUUAAUAAAAAAGGAAACAGUGGGCUUAGAUCAAAAAUUUUGGUCUUGGGAUAGAACUGAUCCACAACGCAGUUCUUCUUUGUUUUCUGUGUUGUGAUUGGUUGAGAUAUUUUGGAGAGAAAGAAAAAUCUCUCAUCCUCUUCGAAAUCGAUGAUGGCUGAAGAAGUAGGCGCGCUCACAUUCCCGAUGUCGAGAGAAUCGGAGUCCGCUUCUCGACUCAAAACCAUAAUCUCCGAUAUGCUUCCUCGUUUCUCCGACGAUUACAUCGACGACGUCUUCUCAGUUCGUCAUCUUCUUUAAAUUUCAUUUUGCCUUCCUGUUCUAGAGACGACGAUUCUUAGGAGUAUGUUACAGUCCUUGUUUGUAAUGGAAAGAGUCAGAGCCAUGCAAGAUAAGAUUUGGACCCGUUUCUUGGGGAGAAAUCUCGGGGAUUUGUUGCCUGGUUUGCUGUUUUGCAUCCCUUUUCUUUGUUGGCUUUUGAUACAUAAAGGUAUUAGUGACUAACAUGCGAUUUCGACUUGUGUACGACAUCCGCCGCUCGUCAACCCGAUUCCGAUACUCAGCCAUCAGAAUCUUCUUCGUCUUCGUCGUUCACGUUCGAGAAAGAAAUUGAGAAACCCGUCUUAGUUCUGUAUCGAUGAUAGAUGCUAAGAAGGAGAAGCAUCAGAUGUAAUGGGAACUGCUGAAUGGAGAGCCAUGAAGAGUCCAUCUUACUACAAGCGUGGUGACUAUGUUCCUGGACUCAAGAACGAAACUUUCAAUGGACAUUACAAGAAAGCCCGAAGGUUUUGGUUUUAAAACUGCAGGGAUUUGAUUUUUAAAACUACAGGUUUUGGUUUUGGAAACUGCAGUUUCUGUUUUGAAUACUUUCAGGUUUUGGAUUCACUGGUGUUUUCAGGCUGCCUCUAGUUGAUGGUUGCAGAUUGUUGGACCGUUUAGUUUCAGAGUGGAGUCUGGAAUUCAGAUUGAUCUGAAGAAUGGAGCUAACCCCGUGACUGUAGAUAAGACAGUAUUUGCUAUGGAAUAUGCUAUUCAAGUGCUUGCUUCUGCCAAGGCUGUUGCUUGGUUCUCCCACAACAGAAAGAAUUCAUGGUUGAGCUUCGUUUCUUUGAGAUAUAGUAUCAGGACUUUCCACUCAAAAUGUCUAGCUUGAUCCUAUGAAGAUUGUAGUCGUCUUGCAGAGAAGUAAAUAGACAAUGUUUGAUUUUUUUUUCAGUUUCUUAUGUUAAACAGAAGAAUGAUUUAAUAGAAGGGAAGUUUACAUCUUACAUUA
Molecule: non-coding RNA, 1338 nt
Organism: Camelina sativa (false flax)
Lineage: Eukaryota; Viridiplantae; Streptophyta; Magnoliopsida; Brassicales; Brassicaceae
Source: RefSeq, a predicted model, not a curated record